GCGCCCGUAGCUCAGCGGACCAGAGCGCCAGUCUUCGGAACUGGCUGUCGUGGGUUCGAAUCCCACCGGGCGUG
This 74-nucleotide transfer RNA is filed under the name Chloroflexota bacterium. Its description in RNAcentral is "Chloroflexi bacterium (freshwater metagenome) tRNA-Arg". It matches the Rfam family "tRNA". Rfam says of the family: Transfer RNA (tRNA) molecules are approximately 80 nucleotides in length. The record is from RNAcentral. Lineage: Bacteria; Bacillati; Chloroflexota.